GUUCGAGCGUCAUUACAACCCUCAAGCUCUGCUUGGUAUUAGGCUUCACCCUUAGGGGCGGGCUUUAAAAUCAGUGGCGGUGCUAUUCGGCUUCAAGCGUAGUAAUUUUUCUCGCUUUGGAGGACCGGGUGUGUGUUUGCCAACAACCCCAAUUUUUAAAGGUUGACCUCGGAUCAGGUAGGGAUACCCGCUGAACUUAA
RNAcentral lists this unclassified non-coding RNA (200 nucleotides) under soil metagenome. RNAcentral describes it as "partial contains internal transcribed spacer 2 and large subunit ribosomal RNA". The record is from RNAcentral.